This 490-nucleotide long non-coding RNA is filed under the name Vigna radiata. RNAcentral describes it as "long non-coding RNA (VRAD_LNC003419)". Lineage: Eukaryota; Viridiplantae; Streptophyta; Magnoliopsida; Fabales; Fabaceae. The record is from RNAcentral.
AAAUAAAAAGAGUGUGGGUUUGUGAGUAAAACUGUGGAUCGUAAUGGAAUAAUAAAAAGUGGAAGUGCAUGGCUACUAUCAGAGGUGUAAAAAGUAAAUUACAGUCCAGCCCAAACCAAAAGAAAGUGGUGAUGCAAUGAAUGAAAAUUGUGGUGUGCCGAGUCAACGAAUCUAGCGUGGGUGUAUGAAGUAAAAGUAACAAACAGUGAGGUGUGCGCAUGGGGUGCCAAAAGUAGUAUAGGUUCAAUCCAAUUAUUAGAACAAGGGAUACAGAGGAAUUGAGGGUUGAGAUGGAAAAAUGGUGGUACCAAAAGUAAAAUGAAUUGAUUAAUAAUUGUUGUUUUAAAAAAAGUGCCCAACCUUUUUUUCAUUCUUUUCUUCUUUUGUUUCUCUCCUUGUUUUUUUCUUUAUAUUCUCAUUCUCCUUUUUUUUAUUUUGUCUUUCUUCAUUCUUUUUUAAUUUAAUUUUCAAACUUUUCUUUAAAAGUGAU